UGGGGAAUUUUGGACAAUGGGGGAAACCCUGAUCCAGCCAUCCCGCGUGUGCGAUGAAGGCCUUCGGGUUGUAAAGCACUUUUGGCAGGAAAGAAACGUCAUGGGUUAAUACCCCGUGAAACUGACGGUACCUGCAGAAUAAGCACCGGCUAACUACGUGCCAGCAGCCGCGGUAAUACGUAGGGUGCAAGCGUUAAUCGGAAUUACUGGGCGUAAAGCGUGCGCAGGCGGUUCGGAAAGAAAGAUGUGAAAUCCCAGAGCUCAACUUUCGAUCUCCAUUUUUACCUUCCGUCCUCUAGUGUGUCAUAGGGAGUUGUAAUUCCGCGUGUAGCAGUGAAAUGCGUAGUUAUGCGGAGGUACACCGAUGGCGAAAGCAGCCUCCUGGGAUAACACUGACGCUCAUGCACGAAAGCGUGGGGAGCAAACAGG
This 429-nucleotide ribosomal RNA is filed under the name Acidobacteriota bacterium. Its description in RNAcentral is "Acidobacteria bacterium partial 16S ribosomal RNA". It matches the Rfam family "Bacterial small subunit ribosomal RNA", at positions 355 to 776 of the family's 1533-position model. The record is from RNAcentral. Lineage: Bacteria; Pseudomonadati; Acidobacteriota.